GAUGAACGCUGGCGGCGUGCCUAAUACAUGCAAGUCGAGCGAACAGACGAGGAGCUUGCUCCUCUGACGUUAGCGGCGGACGGGUGAGUAACACGUGGAUAACCUACCUAUAAGACUGGGAUAACUUCGGGAAACCGGAGCUAAUACCGGAUAAUAUAUUGAACCGCAUGGUUCAAUAGUGAAAGACGGUUUUGCUGUCACUUAUAGAUGGAUCCGCGCCGCAUUAGCUAGUUGGUAAGGUAACGGCUUACCAAGGCAACGAUGCGUAGCCGACCUGAGAGGGUGAUCAGCCACACUGGAACUGAGACACGGUCCAGACUCCUACGGGAGGCAGCAGUAGGGAAUCUUCCGCAAUGGGCGAAAGACUGACGGAGCAACGCCGCGUGAGUGAUGAAGGUCUUCGGAUCGUAAAACUCUGUUAUUAGGGAAGAACAAAUGUGUAAGUAACUAUGCACGUCUUGACGGUACCUAAUCAGAAAGCCACGGCUAACUACGUG
RNAcentral lists this ribosomal RNA (497 nucleotides) under uncultured bacterium. Its description in RNAcentral is "partial 16S ribosomal RNA". It matches the Rfam family "Bacterial small subunit ribosomal RNA", at positions 28 to 507 of the family's 1533-position model. The record is from RNAcentral.